UGCAUAUCAAAUAAGCGGAGGAAAAGAAACUAACAAGGAUUYCCCUAGUAACUGCGAGUGAAGCGGGAUGAGCUCAAAUUUAAAAUCUAGUGGCUUUCAGUCGCUCGAGUUGUAAUCUGGAGAAGUGUUUUCCGCGUCGGACCGUGUACAAGUCUCUUGGAAUAGAGCUUCAUAGAGGGUGAGAGUCCCGUCCAUGACACGGAUUACCGGUGCUUUUGUGAUACACUCUCAAAGAGUCGAGUUGUUUGGGAAUGCAGCUCAAAAUGGGUGGUAAAUUCCAUCUAAAGCUAAAUAUUGGCGAGAGACCGAUAGCGAACAAGUACCGUGAGGGAAAGAUGAAAAGCACUUUGGAAAGAGAGUUAAACAGUACGUGAAAUUGUUGAAAGGGAAACGCUUGAAGUCAGUCGCGUCGUCCGGGACUCAGCCUUGCUCUUUUGCUUGGUGUACUUCCUGGUUUGACGGGUCAACAUCGAUUUUGGAUGGCGGAUAAAGGCGGGGGGAAUGUGGCACCUUUCGGGGUGUGUUAUAGCCCUUCGUUCGUAUACGCUGACUGGGAUCGAGGACUGCAGCACGCCUUUAUGGCCGGGGGUUCGCCCCACGCAACGUGCUUAGGAUGUUGGCAUAAUGGCUUUAAGCGACCCGUCUUGAAACACGGACCA
Molecule: ribosomal RNA, 659 nt
Filed under: Fasciodontia bugellensis
Lineage: Eukaryota; Fungi; Basidiomycota; Agaricomycetes; Hymenochaetales; Schizoporaceae
Description: partial large subunit ribosomal RNA
Source: RNAcentral